CGACUAGUUCCGGGUUCGAGUCCCGGGCAACCCAU
RNAcentral lists this transfer RNA (35 nucleotides) under Helictotrichon convolutum. Its description in RNAcentral is "partial transfer RNA-Lys". RNAcentral also lists the same sequence under 1 other name. Lineage: Eukaryota; Viridiplantae; Streptophyta; Magnoliopsida; Poales; Poaceae. The record is from RNAcentral.